UAUGGCCAUAUCACGUUGAAACACCAGUUCUGGUACGAUCACCGAAGUUAAGCAGCGUCGAGCCUGGUCAGUGCCUAGGUGAGUGACCGCUUGGGAAUACCAAGUGCUGUAAG
Acanthosepion pharaonis is the source of this 113-nucleotide non-coding RNA. Lineage: Eukaryota; Metazoa; Mollusca; Cephalopoda; Sepiida; Sepiidae. The record is from the annotation of a GenBank genome assembly.